AAUCUAUAGAAAAGUUUUCCGCGCCGGACCGUGUCUAAGUCCCUUGGAACAGGGGUGUCAGAGAGGGUGAGAAUCCCGUGCUUGAUACGACCACCGGUGCUAUGUGAUACUUUUUCAACCGAGUCGAGUUGUUGGGAAUGCAGCUCAAAAUGGGUGGUAAAUUCCAUCUAAAGCUAAAUAUUGGCGAGAGACCGAUAGCGAACAAGUACCGUGAGGGAAAGAUGAAAAGCACUUUGGAAAGAGAGUUAAAACAGUACGUGAAAAUUGUUUAAAAAGGGAAAACGAUUGAAAGGUCAGUCGUGCUCUCUGGGGGACCUUCCAGGCCCGGGUUUCUUUCCCGGGUUGGUUAUUUUCCCCAAGUGGGAGGCCGGGGUUCAAACCAAUUCCAAGUUUAAAAAUUCGGCCUUGGGAUUAAAGGGUUCCAUUUAGGGAAAUUGGUUGGGGCUUCCCCCUUCCGGGGGAGGUUGGUUAUUAAGCCCCUUAAUUGUUCCGGCCAUUAACAAGUGGGGGUUUUAAAACUUGGAAGGGAAAACCGCCAACUUCCGGCCCUUUAAUUGGGCCCGGGGGGUUUCCGGCCCCCACGGUUCCCGGAACU
This 595-nucleotide ribosomal RNA is filed under the name Holtermanniella sp. CRUB 1256. RNAcentral's name for it is "eukaryotic LSU rRNA". It matches the Rfam family "Eukaryotic large subunit ribosomal RNA", at positions 147 to 626 of the family's 3401-position model. The record is from RNAcentral. Lineage: Eukaryota; Fungi; Basidiomycota; Tremellomycetes; Holtermanniales.